Molecule: ribosomal RNA, 156 nt
Filed under: uncultured bacterium
Lineage: Bacteria
Description: partial 16S ribosomal RNA
Rfam family: Bacterial small subunit ribosomal RNA
Source: RNAcentral
AAUAUUGGACAAUGGGGGCAAGCCUGAUCCAGCCAUGCCGCGUGGGUGAUGAAGGCCUUCGGGUUGUAAACCCCUUUCGGCGGGGACGAUAAUGACGGUACCCGCACAAUAAGCCCCGGCUAACUUCGUGCCAACAGCCGCGGUAAUAAAAUAUGG